Molecule: ribosomal RNA, 912 nt
Filed under: Allobates sp. MTD47884
Lineage: Eukaryota; Metazoa; Chordata; Amphibia; Anura; Aromobatidae
Description: partial 16S ribosomal RNA
Rfam family: Bacterial large subunit ribosomal RNA
Source: RNAcentral
GGCCUAAAAGCAGCCACCUCAAAAAAAAGCGUCAUAGCUUAAUUAUAACAACUCACAUAAUUCCAACACCUCUCUUAACCCCUCACUAACAAAAAGCAGUUCCAUAUUUUUAUAGAAAUUUUUAUGUUAAAACUAGUAACAAGAAGUAGCCCUUCUCUUAAAUGUACCUAUAUAUCAAUCCGGACCCCCCAUUGAUAAUUAACGUCUAUAAAUCCAUAGUAACUUCUCUCCACGAAAACCCUACUAUUAUUAACGUUAACCUAACACAAGAACAUUAAAAGAAAGAUUAAAAGAUAAAGAAGGAACUCGGCAAAUAUUAGCCUCGCCUGUUUACCAAAAACAUCGCCUCCUGACUAACCAUAAGAGGUCAAGCCUGCCCAGUGACAUUGUUCAACGGCCGCGGUAUCCUAACCGUGCGAAGGUAGCGUAAUCACUUGUUCUUUAAAUGAGGACUAGUAUGAAUGGCUUCACGAAUGCUAUACUGUCUCCUUUAUCCAAUCAGUUAAACUAAUCUCCCCGUGAAGAAGCGGGGAUUUUUCUAUAAGACGAGAAGACCCUGUGGAGCUUUAAACAUCUUUUAACAUUUGAACUUCUCACUUUACUUUCAGAAAAUUAUACUAAGCCCAUCAUUUUGUUUAAAGUUUUAGGUUGGGGUGACCCCGGAGAAAAACAUACCCUCCACGUAGAAAGAAGUUUCCUUUCUAAGCAAAAAGCCACAUCUUUAUGCAUCAAAAUAUUUGACCUAUAUUGACCCAAUUAUUUGAUCAACGAACUAAGUUACCCUAGGGAUAACAGCGCAAUCCGCUUUAAGAGCUCCUAUCGACAAGCGGGCUUACGACCUCGAUGUUGGAUCAGGACAUCCCAGUGGUGCAGCAGCUACUAACGGUUCGUUUGUUCAACGAUUAAAGCCCU